CUGCACUCUCUUCAUCCUGUCUCAUCUGCCCUUGUGCUGCUGCCAAGUAAAACACGGGCUGCAGAAACCUUUUAUCUGGAAGGUCAGAGGCACUGAGGCAGUGUGUUCUCGAGGAACUGGAACUCAGGAGCGCUUCAAAUCUAUUCCCGUCUCUCACCCUGACUCACUGCGUGUUUGGCCUGGGGCGAGGUACUAAGAAGGUCAACGUUUCCAGAAGCAUGCUGCACUUGAGGCACCUUCAGCCCGACUGUCAAGAGGUUCAGAGCAGCCACAGCUCCCACUGAGGAAUUCCUGCAAGCUGGGAUUCUAGUCUUUGUUUUUCCUCACUGAGUGAUAAGCGGAUAGCAGUGUCCAAUUGUUCAAAACGCCAGCCUCCUUCUCCAUCAAACUGCAACAAUCCUCCAGUGUUACUUGAUUGGCAAGCAGUGAAAAAAACAACCCUUCACAGGUGUCAUAGAUCUUUCAAUCAAGAGCAGGGCAUGUGCUCAAAGAAAUAUUACAAGAUAUGCAUGUGGACUUUUUCAAGACACACACAGACACUUAAAAGAACAUGGGGGAGGGGAAUUCCAGCAGAUGUGCUGUUAUGA
Long non-coding RNA from Mauremys mutica (yellowpond turtle), 587 nucleotides. RefSeq lists it as uncharacterized. Lineage: Eukaryota; Metazoa; Chordata; Testudines; Geoemydidae. The transcript is spliced from 3 exons. The record is from RefSeq and is a predicted model, not a curated record.